UUAAUCUUGCUGUGUAGCAAGUGCAGGAAAAGAUCAAUUGGACGUGUUUCUGUAUGAGUUUCACGUUUUGCACGAGAUGAGACGUGCAAACCGGUUUAUUUAUCUUAAGCACGACUUUAAAAUGCAUUAAAAUUUGCCUUUUCACAUUUUUUUAAAGAACCGUCAUGUAUAGUAGCUCGGCGACAGAUAUAUUUUGAAAGUACGGACCGGAAGUGUUAGUGUUGUCGUCUCUGCGUGGAUGUAAUUUGUACUUAUUUAAGUGCUAUUUCUGAAUAGAGCCAGAAGAGGACGACACAGCGCUGUGUAGCGUUGUAGUCAGUGACAUGCAAGUAGAGGCCUUAAAAAUACAGUAAUAUGAUUGUGAUAGUGUAACCUUGGUUUCAGCACUUUUUAAUGUAUUUCAACAUGUGUAGCAUUAGAGUUGUCUGUGGAUCAUAAUAACAUUGGUUCCUACCUGCUCCGGUUUACACUGGGGACUUGUGGAGUGUAACGCCUGAAGACUCGCACAUGUGAGAAGUGUGCUGAAGACAGAGAACUGGGAGGCGGGGCAGUUCUUUGUCUCAACCUGAAGGGGGCGACCGCGAGCCACAGGCGCUGCCGCUGCCGCCCGUUAACACAGGGAAUGGCUGCUCUGCGGGUUCAGAUGGAAAGGCGUAUGGACGCACCUGAGGCCUCUGCCGGAGCAUCUCCUGCUGCUUCAGCCGCAGCCUCUCCUUCUCCAUCUGCUGCAGUCUCAUCUGGUUGUUGUUUCCCAUGAUGCCGCUGUGGGUG
Molecule: long non-coding RNA, 771 nt
Organism: Betta splendens (Siamese fighting fish)
Lineage: Eukaryota; Metazoa; Chordata; Actinopteri; Anabantiformes; Osphronemidae
Exons: 3
Source: RefSeq, a predicted model, not a curated record